RNAcentral lists this unclassified non-coding RNA (211 nucleotides) under Hevea brasiliensis (rubber tree). The record is from RNAcentral. Lineage: Eukaryota; Viridiplantae; Streptophyta; Magnoliopsida; Malpighiales; Euphorbiaceae.
AAAUGCAAUGCCUGGAUAUGGCCGUAGUGAUUAGCUUUUGAAGGUAACAACCUUCUUUGAUUAAAUCUAUACAUCAUUUACUGCUAUUGGCAGUCUAAUUUGAAACCGGUGGGUGCCGCCAAGGAGAGGAGAGAUGCAGCCACUAGGGACUAGGAUUCAUAUAUGCUAUAUUUGAAUUUUCCUGCUUUAUAAAAAGAGUAAAAAAUAACAU